AUACAUGCAAGUCGAGCGGACCUCUUCGGAGGUCAGCGGCGGACGGGUGAGUAACACGUGGGCAACCUGCCUGUAAGACUGGGAUAACUCCGGGAAACCGGAGCUAAUACCGGAUAGUAUCUUGAACCGCAUGGUUCAAGUUGGAAAGACGGUUUCGGCUGUCACUUACAGAUGGGCCCGCGGCGCAUUAGCUAGUUGGUGAGGUAAUGGCUCACCAAGGCAACGAUGCGUAGCCGACCUGAGAGGGUGAUCGGCCACACUGGGACUGAGACACGGCCCAGACUCCUACGGGAGGCAGCAGUAGGGAAUCUUCCGCAAUGGACGAAAGUCUGACGGAGCAACGCCGCGUGAGUGAUGAAGGUUUUCGGAUCGUAAAACUCUGUUGUUAGGGAAGAACAAGUGCGAGAGUAACUGCUCGCACCUUGACGGUACCUAACCAGAAAGCCACGGCUAACUACGUGCCAGCAGCCGCGGUAAUACGUAGGUGGCAAGCGUUGUCCGGAAUUAUUGGGCGUAAAGCGCGCGCAGGCGGUUUCUUAAGUCUGAUGUGAAAGCCCCCGGCUCAACCGGGGAGGGUCAUUGGAAACUGGGAAACUUGAGUGCAGAAGAGGAGAGUGGAAUUCCACGUGUAGCGGUGAAAUGCGUAGAGAUGUGGAGGAACACCAGUGGCGAAGGCGACUCUCUGGUCUGUAACUGACGCUGAGGCGCGAAAGCGUGGGGAGCGAACAGGAUUAGAUACCCUGGUAGUCCACGCCGUAAACGAUGAGUGCUAAGUGUUAGAGGGUUUCCGCCCUUUAGUGCUGCAGCUAACGCAUUAAGCACUCCGCCUGGGGAGUACGGUCGCAAGACUGAAACUCAAAGGAAUUGACGGGGGCCCGCACAAGCGGUGGAGCAUGUGGUUUAAUUCGAAGCAACGCGAAGAACCUUACCAGGUCUUGACAUCCUUUGCCACUUCUAGAGAUAGAAGGUUCCCCUUCGGGGGACAAAGUGACAGGUGGUGCAUGG
This 1005-nucleotide ribosomal RNA is filed under the name Bacillus sp. (in: firmicutes). Its description in RNAcentral is "bacterial SSU rRNA". It matches the Rfam family "Bacterial small subunit ribosomal RNA", at positions 51 to 1048 of the family's 1533-position model. The record is from RNAcentral. Lineage: Bacteria; Bacillati; Bacillota; Bacilli; Caryophanales; Bacillaceae.